CCACCGGCCUUAUUUUAUUGGUUUCUAAAGCUGGGGUAAUGAUUAAUAGGGACAGUUGGGGUCGGUCGUAUUGAAUCGUCAGAGGUGAAAUUCUAUGAUUGAUUCAAGACGAACUGGUGCGAAAGCGUCCGACAAGGAUGUUUCCGUUAAUCAAGAACGAAAGUUGGGGGAUCGAAGAUGAUCAGAUACCGUCGUAGUCCUAACCAUAAACUCUGUGGGCUAAGGAUCCGAGGAUGUUCCAUGGAUGACUCUCCGGGCACUUUGUGAGAAAUCAAAGCAUUUGCAUUCCGGGGGGAGUAUGGCCGCAAGACUGAAACUUAAAGGAAUUGACGGAAGGGCACCACCAGGAGUGGAAUCUGCGGCUUAAUUUGACUCAACACGGGGAAACUC
This 390-nucleotide ribosomal RNA is filed under the name uncultured eukaryote. RNAcentral's name for it is "SSU rRNA". It matches the Rfam family "Eukaryotic small subunit ribosomal RNA", at positions 827 to 1216 of the family's 1831-position model. The record is from RNAcentral.